Long non-coding RNA from Achroia grisella, 264 nucleotides. RefSeq lists it as uncharacterized. The record is from RefSeq and is a predicted model, not a curated record. Lineage: Eukaryota; Metazoa; Arthropoda; Insecta; Lepidoptera; Pyralidae. The transcript is spliced from 3 exons.
CCGCCCGUCCGCCGCCAGCGACCGCAGCCGCCGCCCGCGCUCCGCCGCGCCCCACAGACGACUCUCCGCGGUCUCCGAGGACAAGGAGGACAUCCGAAGCAUCUAAGAAAGAGGCGCAUACGGGACGUGGCUCACUAGUAUCGGGAUGUGGCGUUGUUCGCGCGCCCAUACCGACCAUCGUAUUAUCUCCGACUAUUAGAUAAAUGCAUUAUAUUUAAUAAAUACUUACUCGUCAAUGUUAGAUUAUUAAUUAUGUAUACGAAA